ACCGCUGUAUAUUGUCGACGUCAUACAUGUAUGGGCGACGGUUCCAAAGUCAUGAAAGUAAGCACAUACGUAUCAGUGAUAUUCUGAUAGAAAGUGUCUCUCUACCAAGGUUACAAAGUUUGAAACCACCACCAAGCAAUGGUCGUUGAAGGUAAAAGACCAACCAAUUGGUGUUUUCCUGCCGUUUUGGCAUGCUGUUGCUUUUGGCCCAUUGGCAUAUGUGCACUUAUUUCGGCAAACGAUGCAAACAAAGCAGCGGACGCCGGCGAUUAUGUCUUCGCAGAUUCCAAAGCUAGAACUGCCAGAAAUUGUGUCAUUGCUGCGUUUGUGUUUGGAAUAAUUGGUAUAAUCAUAUUUAUUAUAGCAAAAGCUUCCCAGAUAGAGUCAGACAGCAGUAAUGUUCCCCAUGGUAACUGAUGACGAAAGUACCACGUGCCAUUUUGUAAAAAGCAGACAGACAUUCCUCUAUACAGUGGUCUAUAUACGCGAUAAUCUCUGGAAUGAUUUUAAUUUUGGUUGAAGAUGCCAUCAUUCAUACAUGUCAUUAUAAUCUGGUCUUCAAGACAAUUUUCUUUACUUUGACGUCCUUAUAUAAAUAAGUUUUUUUUUAGCAUUUCGCCCCGAAAGAUAUAUUAGAAUAAGUUCAAAUGUGGUAUUCAUAAAUAGUUUAUACUGUUUAACCUCAUAUAUAAAUACAAUUUGUUUAAAUAUUCAACCGAACGCUAAUUAUCGAGCGUUAGCUAAAAUGUAAGGUUGAGAUGUUUCGCCUUUUGAUCCGACAUAUAAAAUGGAUUGGCCGAUUUUCUUCUGUUCAUUAAAUAGUUAAAGAUGCCUGUGUUUUAAAUUUCUUCAUAUCUGUUCUUUAGAAAAAGUGUAAUAAUUGUACAAAACAUGUUAUAUUAUUAAAGUGAUCUGUGGU
Molecule: long non-coding RNA, 919 nt
Organism: Mytilus trossulus (common blue mussel)
Lineage: Eukaryota; Metazoa; Mollusca; Bivalvia; Mytilida; Mytilidae
Exons: 3
Source: RefSeq, a predicted model, not a curated record